Molecule: long non-coding RNA, 819 nt
Organism: Glycine soja
Lineage: Eukaryota; Viridiplantae; Streptophyta; Magnoliopsida; Fabales; Fabaceae
Exons: 2
Source: RefSeq, a predicted model, not a curated record
AACACGUUCCCUUUUUAGUCAUGUUUAUCUCUUUUAUCAUGCGACUUUCCUCUUCAACAAAGAUGGCAAAACACAAACUCCCUUGUUCAUGUUAGAGGACAACAGACAGACGAUGGUUAUCAGUAUUCUCUUUCCCUUUUCUGGCACAGUCUCUCUUUAGUCUUCUCCCUCUCUUUCCUGGCACAAUUCGAGGCGGUUUGAGUUAUCUCGUCUUUUUCCGAUGAGGUCACCAUUGUGUGUGCGUUUUCUGGUGAGAUUGGCGCCUGCAUCACGGUGCCUCGAAGUAUGUCAUCAAAAUAGCGACUUGUGCUAGUGUGAAGCCAUAAUGAAUCUUGAAGAAAAAUUGGGGUGAAAGAGACUCACCCCUCUACUUAAAUUCAAAGGAAGACGUGGUGGGGGAAAUCAUGGGCGUUUGAUUCUUGAGAAAACGCACACAUGGAUGGUAUUGGAAAAACGAAAUUUCCACCUGUUAUGGCUCCCCUUUUUGUUUUUCUAGCAUAAUGAAAUAAAAUUAUCAUUUUGGAUGUGAGCGUCUAACUAAACCCCGCGCACACGUCAAACGCUGGUACUAUAUCUAUAGGGGAAACCAAAAAGGUUGUAUACAAAAUUAUCUUAAUUGGCCAUAAUAUCAGAGGUGUGAUUGCAACACUUUUGUUCCCUUUUGUAGCCUUUGAUGCACACUCAAAGUCUAGGAUAGAAGGUGGACCAAGACCGUGACAAUUUUUUAAUGUGCAGAUGUGAAAGCCCUUUCUGCCAUUUUGAACAACUAUUUUUGCUUAUUCAACUUUUAUCUGUUUUCACUGAAUGAUCUUUUUAAAA